GGAUCUUGGAUUCAUUUUCGUGUUCAGCAGGUUCUCUAGGUCCAGUAUGUUGAAUUUGAUAAUUGGGAAUUGAUUAGAAAAAUCAUGGCCAGCCAAAGUGUCCCCCCUGUCAUGCCUAUGAUGAAAAUAACAAAUGUUGGAGUGGGGGGAGUCUCCAGAAAUCACAAACUCUGUUCGCAACAAUCCCAGCACAUAACAUGCUUCUUCGCCACCUCACAGUAGCCUAUUAAUCCUCCAGGACUAAUUUCAAACUUCUGGCCAAGGGCUUUUGCAUGAACUAUUGCCAAUCGAUGAGUCGUGGGCAUUCGACUUUUAAUAAUAAAAUCGGAUAAACAGGCAGCUGUGCGUACAAUAGACAGGGAGUGGCGAACUCCAUGAAUGACGAACACUUACAUUUAAUCGUCCCUGUAUCGCCAGGAAGUCCAGCCUACCAGUUCCUGUCCCCCAGCUAGAAGCACUGCACAUCUUUUAUUUUUUGAAUGGCUCGACCUCUCUCAUUCAUUGUUCAAUAACUUUGAACAACAUCCGAAACCGAGCAGAGGCACGCGCCUAUUGUGUGACCCAACGGGAGGUGAGGUAGCUGCAAGAAAUACAGGUGGAAUUUGAAAUUGAAAGAACGUAUAAUAGACCAAGGGGUGCUUUUGUACAACAUUUAAACGAUACCUACCGGGCGUUACAGGUUGCUACCAUUGUUACACUGUACUUCCCGACUAUGUAUAAACGUCCUGGCUGUUUCGAAUUAUCUUUUGCGUCACUUGCAUUAAAAUUAAAAUGUAA
Ceratina calcarata is the source of this 777-nucleotide long non-coding RNA. RefSeq lists it as uncharacterized. Lineage: Eukaryota; Metazoa; Arthropoda; Insecta; Hymenoptera; Apidae. The record is from RefSeq and is a predicted model, not a curated record. The transcript is spliced from 3 exons.